UCUUGGUCANUUUAGAGGAAGUAAAAGUNGUAACAAGGUUUCCGUAGGUGAACCUGCGGAAGGAU
RNAcentral lists this ribosomal RNA (65 nucleotides) under Amanita longistriata. Its description in RNAcentral is "partial 18S ribosomal RNA". It matches the Rfam family "Eukaryotic small subunit ribosomal RNA", at positions 1762 to 1826 of the family's 1831-position model. The record is from RNAcentral. Lineage: Eukaryota; Fungi; Basidiomycota; Agaricomycetes; Agaricales; Amanitaceae.